Molecule: small nucleolar RNA, 127 nt
Organism: Cercocebus atys (sooty mangabey)
Lineage: Eukaryota; Metazoa; Chordata; Mammalia; Primates; Cercopithecidae
Gene: SNORA75
Rfam family: Small nucleolar RNA SNORA75
About the family: U23 belongs to the H/ACA class of snoRNAs. snoRNAs bind a number of proteins (including dyskerin, Gar1p and Nop10p in the case of the H/ACA class) to form snoRNP complexes.
Source: Ensembl
GGCAAUUAACACCACUACAGAUUGGUGGCAGUUUAUGGAUUUGCACAAGAAGAGAGAACUCAGAGAACUAGCACUAUUUUACGCUCUGUCUUUACAGAAAAAAAAAUGGCUGUUUUGUCAGACAUUC